CCUACGGGCGGCAGCAGUGGGGAAUAUUGCGCAAUGGGCGAAAGCCUGACGCAGCGACGCCGCGUGAGGGAUGAAGGUCUUCGGAUCGUAAACCUCUGUUAGCAGGGAAGAACGGUCACUGUGCUAAUCAGCAGUGAAUUGACGGUACCUGCAAAGGAAGCACCGGCUAACUCCGUGCCAGCAGCCGCGGUAAUACGGAGGGUGCGAGCGUUAAUCGGAAUUACUGGGCGUAAAGCGCUCGUAGGCGGUAUGUCAAGUCAAGGGUGAAAUCCCCGCGCUCAACGUGGGAACUGCCUUUGAAACUGGCAAACUGGAGUGUGUGAGAGGAUAGUGGAAUUCCAGGUGUAGGAGUGAAAUGCGUAGAUAUCUGGAGGAACAUCAGUGGCGAAGGCGACUAUCUGGCACAUAACUGACGCUGAGGAGCGAAAGCGUGGGUAGCAAACAGGAUUAGAUACCCGAGUAGUC
This 465-nucleotide ribosomal RNA is filed under the name uncultured bacterium. RNAcentral's name for it is "partial 16S ribosomal RNA". It matches the Rfam family "Bacterial small subunit ribosomal RNA", at positions 338 to 795 of the family's 1533-position model. The record is from RNAcentral.